AUGUUGAAAUAUAUUGAAACAAAUAAUACCAAACCAAAUGAAUCAAAAACAAACAAAACACAAAUAGUACAAACAUCAAAUUCAUUAAUCCACAACAUCAAAUUAUUACAUAGUUUAGUAAUCCAUAACAUAAAAUUCAAUGCAAAUUGUUCAUCACAAGUGGCAACAAACACAGAGAUAAAACUAUUGGUCUUGUUGCCCACGGCAUGCUCACCACUCCUCGAUGAUAUAUUUUUGAAGAUCUUCGUGUGUAUCGGAAUCUCGAAUGUCAAGCUACACCUCAAGAAAGUGUCGGCUUCGCUCUUCCCAUUCUACAUGUCUGCAUCGGUUGUCUCAUGA
RNAcentral lists this ribosomal RNA (339 nucleotides) under Triticum aestivum (bread wheat). RNAcentral describes it as "partial small subunit ribosomal RNA". Lineage: Eukaryota; Viridiplantae; Streptophyta; Magnoliopsida; Poales; Poaceae. The record is from RNAcentral.